CUCAAAGUACUGCUGGGCUCGGUCAGCCUCUUUGCAAUCCCGCUCAAAACGUCUUUUACUCUAAGAGCAGAGGAAGAUGGUGACAGGGUCACGUUUCACCAUUUUAAGUGCCUCUUGACAGCAAGGUUUACCCAUCUAGCAAUUUUUUUGGUCUGGAGGAGCCCCGUGGGGCUUCGUAUUUCGAGUCUCAUAAUAGACAGAGGGAUACGACAGAAAAGAGAUGGAUACGACCAAAAAGAGAUGGAGUCGAAGAUUCAAAGACAGACACAAAAAGAAAACCUCGGCACCCAACUCAGAGCUGGGCUCUAAGCUUCUACUCUAACAGCAGCUCUGAAAUGAACGUUUGCACAAAACGAAAGCUCCCUCACAGCCAGCGCCGUCCUGACCGAGAGGAAAUGCACACAAAGAACGUGCAGAAACGACGGACCCUGCACAGGAAAGGUGGAUCGGGCUUUACCAGCAGAGGGAUCGGAUCUGAAGACCACAGUCUUCCAAAAAAGGCCAUGUUUGGGAAGCACGAGUGGAUAAUUUGAUCAAAAAUCUACUAGAUAGUAAAUUCUCUUGCUGCUUCUUCAUUUCCAGGUUGAAUAAUAAAUAUGCAUUUAUUUUUCAA
Long non-coding RNA from Bubalus bubalis (water buffalo), 613 nucleotides. RefSeq lists it as uncharacterized. Lineage: Eukaryota; Metazoa; Chordata; Mammalia; Artiodactyla; Bovidae. The record is from RefSeq and is a predicted model, not a curated record. The transcript is spliced from 3 exons.